GAGCCCGUAGCUCAGUUGGUAGAGCAUCGCCCUUUUAAGGCGAGGGCCGUUGGUUCGAAUCCAACCGGGCUCA
RNAcentral lists this transfer RNA (73 nucleotides) under Ignavibacteriota bacterium. Its description in RNAcentral is "Ignavibacteriae bacterium (groundwater metagenome) tRNA-Lys". It matches the Rfam family "tRNA". From Rfam's summary of the family: Transfer RNA (tRNA) molecules are approximately 80 nucleotides in length. Their secondary structure includes four short double-helical elements and three loops (D, anti-codon, and T loops). Further hydrogen bonds mediate the characteristic L-shaped molecular structure. tRNAs have two regions of fundamental functional importance: the anti-codon, which is responsible for specific mRNA codon recognition, and the 3' end, to which the tRNAs corresponding amino acid is attached (by aminoacyl-tRNA synthetases). tRNAs cope with the degeneracy of the genetic code in two manners: having more than one tRNA (with a specific anti-codon) for a particular amino acid; and 'wobble' base-pairing, i.e. permitting non-standard base-pairing at the 3rd anti-codon position. Lineage: Bacteria; Pseudomonadati; Ignavibacteriota. The record is from RNAcentral.